UUACUGCUAUCGAGGUCCGACUAAGCCAUGCGAGUCGAAUGUCCGCAAGGACAUGGCGAACUGCUCAGUAACACGUGGACAACCUACCCUUGGGACGUGGAUAAACCCGGGAAACUGGGUAUAAUCCGCGAUAGCUGUAGAAACCUGGAAUGGCUCUACGGCGAAAGCUCCGGCGCCCAAGGAUGGGUCUGCGGCCUAUCAGGUAGUAGUGGGUUUAACGUACCUACUAGCCUACGACGGGUACGGGUUGUGAGAGCAAGAGCCCGGAGAUGGAUUCUGAGACACGAAUCCAGGCCCUACGGGGUGCAGCAGGCGCGAAAACUUUACAAUGCUGGCAACAGCGAUAAGGGGACCUCGAGUGCCAGGUUACAAAUCUGGCUGUCGAGAUGCCUAAAAAGCAUUUCAUAGCAAGGGCCGGGCAAGACCGGUGCCAGCCGCCGCGGUAACACCGGCGGCUCGAGUGGUAACCGCUAUUAUUUGGUCUAAAGGGUCUGUAGCCGGGCGGCUCGAGUGGUAACCGCUAUUAUUUGGUCUAAAGGGUCUGUAGCCG
RNAcentral lists this ribosomal RNA (550 nucleotides) under uncultured archaeon. Its description in RNAcentral is "bacterial SSU rRNA". It matches the Rfam family "Archaeal small subunit ribosomal RNA", at positions 24 to 590 of the family's 1478-position model. The record is from RNAcentral.